Molecule: ribosomal RNA, 327 nt
Filed under: uncultured eukaryote
Lineage: Eukaryota
Description: partial 18S ribosomal RNA
Rfam family: Eukaryotic small subunit ribosomal RNA
Source: RNAcentral
CCCUUAGAUGUUCUGGGCCGCACGCGCGCUACACUGACGGAGGCAGCGAGCAUGUCCUUCGCCGAGAGGUGUGGGGAAUCUUGUGAGUCUCCGUCGUGCUGGGGAUAGAUGGUUGCAAUUGUCGAUCUUGAACGAGGAAUUCCUAGUAAGCGCGAGUCAUCAGCUCGCGCUGAUUACGUCCCUGCCCUUUGUACACACCGCCCGUCGCUCCUACCGAUUGAAUGGUCCGGUGAAGCGCUCGGACCGCGGCCUCUUGACGGUUCGCUGUCGAUUGGCUGUGGGAAGUUCGUUAAACCUUAUCAUUUAGAGGAAGGAGAAGUCGUAACA